UACGUAGGGGGCAAGCGUUGUCCGGAAUCAUUGGGCUUAAAGAGCGUGUAGGCGGCCCGAUAAGUCCGCCGUGAAAGUCCAGGGCUCAACCCUGGAAUGCCGGUGGAAACUGUCGGGCUGGAGUCCGGAAGAGGCGAGUGGAAUUCCUGGUGUAGCGGUGAAAUGCGCAGAUAUCAGGAGGAACACCAAUGGCGAAGGCAGCUCGCUGGGACGGUACUGACGCUGAGACGCGAAAGCGUGGGGAGCAAACAGG
Molecule: ribosomal RNA, 253 nt
Filed under: uncultured bacterium
Lineage: Bacteria
Description: partial 16S ribosomal RNA
Rfam family: Bacterial small subunit ribosomal RNA
Source: RNAcentral